RNAcentral lists this ribosomal RNA (648 nucleotides) under Salmonella enterica subsp. enterica serovar Virchow. Its description in RNAcentral is "partial 23S ribosomal RNA". It matches the Rfam family "Bacterial large subunit ribosomal RNA", at positions 1101 to 1749 of the family's 2925-position model. Lineage: Bacteria; Pseudomonadati; Pseudomonadota; Gammaproteobacteria; Enterobacterales; Enterobacteriaceae. The record is from RNAcentral.
UUGGCUUAGAAGCAGCCAUCAUUUAAAGAAAGCGUAAUAGCUCACUGGUCGAGUCGGCCUGCGCGGAAGAUGUAACGGGGCUAAACCAUGCACCGAAGCUGCGGCAGCGACACUAUGUGUUGUUGGGUAGGGGAGCGUUCUGUAAGCCGUUGAAGGUGGCCUGUGAGGGUUGCUGGAGGUAUCAGAAGUGCGAAUGCUGACAUAAGUAACGAUAAUGCGGGUGAAAAACCCGCACGCCGGAAGACCAAGGGUUCCUGUCCAACGUUAAUCGGGGCAGGGUGAGUCGACCCCUAAGGCGAGGCCGAAAGGCGUAGUCGAUGGGAAACAGGUUAAUAUUCCUGUACUUGGUGUUACUGCGAAGGGGGGACGGAGAAGGCUAUGUCGGCCGGGCGACGGUUGUCCCGGUUUAAGCAUGUAGGCGGAGGUUCCAGGUAAAUCCGGUACCUUUUAACGCUGAGGUGUGAUGACGAGGCACUACGGUGCUGAAGUGACAAAUGCCCUGCUUCCAGGAAAAGCCUCUAAGCAUCAGGUAACACGAAAUCGUACCCCAAACCGACACAGGUGGUCAGGUAGAGAAUACCAAGGCGCUUGAGAGAACUCGGGUGAAGGAACUAGGCAAAAUGGUGCCGUAACUUCGGGAGAAGGCAC